RNAcentral lists this transfer RNA (81 nucleotides) under Neocallimastix californiae. It matches the Rfam family "tRNA". From Rfam's summary of the family: Transfer RNA (tRNA) molecules are approximately 80 nucleotides in length. The record is from Rfam by way of RNAcentral. Lineage: Eukaryota; Fungi; Neocallimastigomycota; Neocallimastigomycetes; Neocallimastigales; Neocallimastigaceae.
GUCAGUUUGUCCGAGUGGUUAAGGAGUCAGACUUGAAAUCUGGUGGGUCUGCCCGCGCAGGUUCAAACCCUGCAGCUGACG